Molecule: non-coding RNA, 29 nt
Filed under: Mus musculus (house mouse)
Lineage: Eukaryota; Metazoa; Chordata; Mammalia; Rodentia; Muridae
Source: RNAcentral
UGNGGUGUGCAUGUAUCACUUUGUCAAGG